This is a long non-coding RNA of Meriones unguiculatus (Mongolian gerbil), 868 nucleotides long. RefSeq lists it as uncharacterized. NCBI's taxonomy places the organism in Eukaryota, Metazoa, Chordata, Mammalia, Rodentia, Muridae. The record is from RefSeq and is a predicted model, not a curated record. The transcript is spliced from 3 exons.
GGAGCUGCAGGGGUGCCUCAAGCGCGGCCGCCGCCCGGCGCGCCGCCAUGGUCGCGGCUGCGCCCGAUCCGCGUGGAGAGGUGUGGCAGAAUUACGCGCGGACCGCGCCCUCGGGUCACCCGUGGGAGCUGACCUGGCGGUGGCGGGGCGGGCAGCCUGGCCGUAGCUGCGCAAGGCGGUGCCUCUCCGGAGCCUAGGGUCACCGUGCACCUUGCCAGCGCCGUGCGCGUCCCCUCGGCCUCAGGAACCAGGACAGGGACGGGUUCUCCCUGUCCUAGGUGAUGAACCGUCCUGCGCCCCGCCUGGUACUCCCUGCUGGAACCACAGAUACGGGGUUUGCCUUGACUUUGAGCAUCUGAUGAGAAGCAGAAUCAUGUGGUAGUGCAGAGGAAAAUGAAAGGGGCCAGCCACACUACAGCUGUGGAGGGAGCGGAGCCUGAGGCGCUGUGGAUAGAAGGCAAGCAUCCUCUCGGUCCUGGCUUCCAGUGGACAUGCUCCAGAUCAUAGCUUCCGCUUCCUCAGGUCAGAGCUCAAGUACCAUCAAGGAAUUACCAUCUUCACAAUGGCUGCCCUUCUCACCUAUGAGUCUCCAGGGCUGCGGGACUGCAAACUGCGUGACCUGGCAUGGGGCCCUGCAGCCCAGCGUACCACUGCGCAUGCCUGAACUGCAUGAAGGGCCCCUGGAAUCUGCCGGAGCAGAGGUGAUGAACCCUGGCUGAAAUGCGAGGUACAUGCUCGUGUUCAGGGAGACAGUUUUCUAAAGCAAUGGAGUAGCUGCUGACUUCAACCUGCUGGAGGGAGGAAAUGACAGAGCUCCCUCCCAGCUCCUCGGUCGAAGGACACGUGACAAGACAAAGAAGAGGCUCGA